Molecule: ribosomal RNA, 643 nt
Filed under: bacterium SC6-18
Lineage: Bacteria
Description: bacterial SSU rRNA
Rfam family: Bacterial small subunit ribosomal RNA
Source: RNAcentral
CCUACGGGAGGCAGCAGUAGGGAAUCUUCCGCAAUGGACGAAAGUCUGACGGAGCAACGCCGCGUGAGCGAUGAAGGCCUUCGGGUCGUAAAGCUCUGUUGUCAGGGAAGAACAAGUACCGGAGUAACUGCCGGUACCUUGACGGUACCUGACCAGAAAGCCACGGCUAACUACGUGCCAGCAGCCGCGGUAAUACGUAGGUGGCAAGCGUUGUCCGGAAUUAUUGGGCGUAAAGCGCGCGCAGGCGGUUCCUUAAGUCUGAUGUGAAAGCCCCCGGCUCACCGGGGAGGGUCAUUGGAAACUGGGGAACUUGAGUGCGAAGAGGAGAGCGGAAUUCCACGUGUAGCGGUGAAAUGCGUAGAGAGUGGGAGGAACACCAGUGGCGAAGGCGGCUCUCUGGUCUGUAACUGACGCUGAGGCGCGAAAGCGUGGGGAGCGAACAGGAUUAGAUACCCUGGUAGUCCACGCCGUAAACGAUGAGUGCUAAGUGUUAGAGGGUUUCCGCCCUUUAGUGCUGCAGCAAACGCAUUAAGCACUCCGCCUGGGGAGUACGGCCGCAAGGCUGAAACUCAAAGGAAUUGACGGGGGCCCGCACAAGCGGUGGAGCAUGUGGUUUAAUUCGAAGCAACGCGAAGAACCUUAC